UGUGUUGUAGAGAAAUGACCAGGCAGGAGACGGGAGUACAGUUUGUUUUGUUUAGUCAAAUCCUCUCGUGCUCUACAGCCCCGGUCCAAUAGUGCACAUGUGCAUUUCCUAUUAGGUGUAGUAAUAUAACACUGCCGUAAUACAUUACUGCUUAGUAACAGCAUAGUAACUAAUACAAACAGAUAUAGAUCACAGAUACGACACUCCUCCCCCAUAGUGAUUAACUCCCAGAGAACAAGGUAAAUACGUUAGGGAACUACUAAUGCAAUAUCUGAACAAUGCAUUCUUAAACAUUUUUCAACUACUGGGUUGAAGCAGUCUUUCAGAGCCCAGGACAAAUCCAGGGGAUUAUUCUGCCCUGAAGAUGGAGUUUGUGUCCUAAUAACUAACCCAGCUCAACUCACAGGUCAAGCUUUUGAGGUGCCCUUUGCUGUCAAAUAGGAUAUCUCCGCUCCUACUGGGCUUCCGAUGGUGGGCCAGGUUCUGGUGGAAGAUCAGGCUCUGUCUCUUCCGUACGUCCACUAUUCAGGAGAAUAGUCCUGGGGGUCGUUAUUGUUCUUGUUUUCUUGGCAUGUCUCUGCUGGGGUGUUGGACCACAGCAGAUGAUCCACAUGAACGUUGACAUGGCGAUGACCAACUUGGUAAGUCAAAGGUCCUCUGCGUUGCAAGAUCACACCUGAGUUCCACAGGUGCUUGGGGUGUCUGAAAUCAUGUACCAUCACUCUCUCUCCCUCUUUGAAUUCUCUGACAGUCUUUGAGUGUCUGUUAUGAGCUUUCUUCUGCUGUAGCUGGUGCUUUGCCACAGUGCUUGACAAGUCUGGUUUCAUCAAUGUCAGGUGGGUACGUGUUUGGCAUUUCAGAAACAGGUCAGCUGGUGUAUGUUCCGUUACUGUGUGUGGUGUGUUACGGUAAGUAAACAGGAAACGGGGAAGCCUUUGCUGGGUGGGCACAGACUGAACCUUGAGUCUAGUCCAGGCCUUCUUAAAGGUUUGCACGGCUCUCUCCGCUGCUCCAUUUGAUGCCGGAUGGUAAGGUGGUGACAGGAUGUGCCUUACUCCGUUGUUCUUGAGAAACAUUUCAAAAUCGUUUGACGUGAAAGGAUGGCCAUUGUCCGAUACGAGCUCCUUGACUAGUCCAAAGGAUGCGAACAGGUGUCUGAGAAGAUUGAUACUCUUCUCAGCUGUGGUCAAUUGAGUAGGGAACACUUCCAUCCACUUGGAAUGGACAUCGACCACAGCAAGGAAAUGUUGUUUGUCAACAUUGGCGUAAUCCACAUGGAUGCAUUCCCAUGGUGUAGCAGCCCAGGACCAUGGAUGAAGAGGUGCAGCAGCAGGCUUGUUUCAAACAGCUUCACAAGGUGAGCAGUGGCCUACAUGCUGCUGAAUGUCCUGAUCCAGUCCAGGCCACCACAGAUAACUGCAGGCGAGUGCUUUCAUUCGAGUGAUCCCUGGAAGUCCCUCAUGCAGGUCAGAUAGCAGUCUCCUCUGGAAUUUGUGAGUUACCACCACCCUUGAUCCCCACAGAACACAUCCUUGAUCAGUAGACAACUGGUCUUUCUUGUCGAUGAAUGGACGAAGGUUAUCGUCAUUUACGAAGGUUGGCCAACUGCCUAAUGCCUAAGCACUGGGUCUUUCCUCAUUUCCUCUGCUAUGUCUAAAGCAGAUAUGGGCAGUUCGUCGAUAAGAGAGAUCUGGAAGACUGCUCUAUCAUUCUUCACUGUCGGAGUCACUAUUGCAUGGUAGUCUUGAUAGUGCAUCUGCAUUUGCGUGAUCACUGGAUCAUCUGUACUCGAUCUCAUAGUUGUAGGCUAGCAAUAUUAUACCUUUAUUUCAACAAGGAACACAGACUGAGACCAAGGUAUAUUUUACAGCUGGGCCCUGCGAAUACAUGUUUACACAUACAGUUUAGGUACAAUGAUUAAGAAACUACACAAGACAAACAGAGCCCAAUGUUGCAUUCGAAGUGCAGCAAGGGUUGGUAUGGCUGAUUUUGGUCCAAGGAGGCUUGUGAUCUUGUAAGGCGUGGGUGUUUGCUGACGAGGAAUCAAGUGCAGGAAAACAGCGAUUCAGGGUAUUGGCUUUAAUAGGCACAAUGACUAAACUACAAGCCAACCCAAACAGCGCACAGAGCGCACUACAAAACAAAGUGCCCCAAACAAAAGGGAAAAAAACACAGCUUGUGCAAAACACACGCACCACUGAAAAUGUACAACAAACAGCGUGUCACCACGCACCGCAUACAAUGAAAUAAUCCCGCACAAAGAGCAGGCAGGCCUACUGGCUAACAAAGCCUGCUAAUCAGCCCAACUCAGAACAGGUGCACCUAAUAACGAAAAGGGGGAAAACAAAAAGGGAAUCAGUGGCAGCUAGUAGGCCGGUGAUGACGACCGCCGAGCGCCACCCGAGCAGGAGGGGGAGCCACCUUCGGUAGGAGUCGUGACAGAUCUGUAGGUAGUUGGAACUUUCUUCCGUAGAGGUAUUUGUGAAACAUCUUCACUCCGAAUAUUAUGCUCAGGGCUUCCUUCUCAAUUUGAGCAUAAUUUUUCUCACUUGGUGAUGCAAAUGCAAUAGGGUGUUCUUCACCUGACGGUAGAACAUGUGAGAUGAUGGCUCCUACUCCAUAUGGAGAUGCAUCAGACGCAAGUCUCAGCUUCAUCUCUGUGUCGUAUUGGGCAAGCGACUUGCUCUUUAGCAGACGCUGUUUGCAAGUCUUGAAUGCUUCUUCGCAUUGUGGGGACCAAGAUCUGAUCUAUUGUGUGUUGGAAUAUUGCUGGAGCUGUUGAGAUUCCAUAGGCCAAGUGAUUGAAUCUGAAUAGCCCCUUGUGUGUAUUGAUGGUCAGAUACUGUUCUAUCUCCGGAUCCAGCUUCAGUUGCUGAUAAUCGAAUGACAGGUCCAGCUUACUGAAAACCUUCCCACGAGCUAGAGUGGCAAACAGAUCUACAGCGUUUGGUAGUGGAUAUUCCUCUGUUAGUAUGCAGCGAUUUACUGUGACCUUGUAGUCUCCGCACAUUCUGAC
Molecule: long non-coding RNA, 3016 nt
Filed under: Salmo salar (Atlantic salmon)
Lineage: Eukaryota; Metazoa; Chordata; Actinopteri; Salmoniformes; Salmonidae
Description: lncRNA (ENSSSAG00000097319.1)
Source: RNAcentral